CCUACGGGUGGCAGCAGUCGAGAAUCAUUCACAAUGGGGGAAACCCUGAUGGUGCGACGCCGCGUGGGGGAUUGAAGGUCUUCGGAUUGUAACCCCCUGUCCUGUGGGAGAAAAUUAACAGGGUAGUACCACAAGAGGAAGAGACGGCUACCUCUGUGCCAGCAGCCGCGGUAAUACAGAGGUCUCAAGCGUUGUUCGGAAUCACUGGGCGUAAGGCGUGCGUAGGCUGUUUCGUAAGUCGUGUGUGAAAGGCGCGGGCUCAACCCGCGGACGGCACAUGAUACUGCGAGACUAGAGUAAUGGAGGGGGAACCGGAAUUCUCGGUGGAGCAGUGAAAUGCGUAGAUAUCGAGAGGAACACUCGUGGCGAAGGCGGGUUCCUGGACAUUAACUGACGCUGAGGCACGAAGGCCAGGGGAGCGAAAGGGAUUAGAUACCCGAGUAGUC
This 446-nucleotide ribosomal RNA is filed under the name uncultured bacterium. RNAcentral describes it as "partial 16S ribosomal RNA". It matches the Rfam family "Bacterial small subunit ribosomal RNA", at positions 338 to 795 of the family's 1533-position model. The record is from RNAcentral.